UGGGGAAUAUUGGACAAUGGGGGGAACCCUGAUCCAGCAAUGCCGCGUGUGUGAAGAAGGCCUUAGGGUUGUAAAGCACUUUAGGCGGGGAAGAAGGUGUGUAGUUUAAGAGAUGACACAUUUGACGGUACCCGCAGAAUAAGCACCGGCUAACUCUGUGCCAGCAGCCGCGGUAAUACAGAGGGUGCAAGCGUUAAUCGGAAUUACUGGGCGUAAAGGGCGCGUAGGUGGUUGCGUAAGUGAGAUGUGAAAUCCCCGGGCUUAACCUGGGAACUGCAUCUUAUACUGCGUAGCUGGAGUACAUGAGAGGGUAGUGGAAUUUCCGGUGUAGCGGUGAAAUGCGUAGAUAUCGGAAGGAACACCAGUGGCGAAGGCGGCUACCUGGCAUGAUACUGACACUGAGACGCGAGAGCGUGGGGAGCAAACAGG
Molecule: ribosomal RNA, 429 nt
Filed under: uncultured bacterium
Lineage: Bacteria
Description: bacterial SSU rRNA
Rfam family: Bacterial small subunit ribosomal RNA
Source: RNAcentral